This 740-nucleotide ribosomal RNA is filed under the name uncultured Atopobium sp. RNAcentral describes it as "bacterial SSU rRNA". It matches the Rfam family "Bacterial small subunit ribosomal RNA", at positions 28 to 776 of the family's 1533-position model. Lineage: Bacteria; Bacillati; Actinomycetota; Coriobacteriia; Coriobacteriales; Atopobiaceae. The record is from RNAcentral.
GAUGAGCGCUGGCGGCGCGCCUAACACAUGCAAGUCGAACGGUUAAAGCACCUUUUAGGUGUGUAUAAAGUGGCGAACGGCUGAGUAACACGUGGGCAACCUGCCCUCCUCUUGGGGAUAGCCUCGGGAAACCGAGGAUAAUACCCGAUACUUCAAUGUGGCCGCAUGACGACAUUGAGAAAGCUUUUGCGGAGAAGGAUGGGCCCGCGGCCUGUUAGCUUGUUGGUGGGGUAGAGGCCUACCAAGGCAAUGAUGGGUAGCUGGGUUGAGAGACCGACCAGCCAGAUUGGGACUGAGACACGGCCCAGACUCCUACGGGAGGCAGCAGUGGGGAAUCUUGCACAAUGGGCGAAAGCCUGAUGCAGCGACGCCGCGUGCGGGACGAAGGCCUUCGGGUUGUAAACCGCUUUCAGCAGGGACGAGGCGAAAGUGACGGUACCUGCAGAAGAAGCCCCGGCUAACUACGUGCCAGCAGCCGCGGUAAUACGUAGGGGGCAAGCGUUAUCCGGAUUCAUUGGGCGUAAAGCGCUCGUAGGCGGUCUGUUAGGUCGGGAGUUAAAUCCGGAGGCUCAACCUCCGCCCGCUCCCGAUACCGGCAGACUUGAGUUUGGUAGGGGAAGGUGGGAAUUCCUAGUGUAGCGGGCGGAAUGCGCACAUAUUAGGAAGAACAUCAGUGGCCGAAGGCGGCCUUUCUGGUCCAUAACUGACGCUGAGGAGCGAAAGCUAGGGGAGCAAACUGG